GACGAACGCUGGCGGCGUGCCUAAUACAUGCCAGUAGAACGCUGAAGGAGGAGCUUGCUUCUCUGGAUGAGUUGCGAACGGGUGAGUAGCGCGUAGGUAACCUGCCUGGUAGCGGGGGAUAACUAUUGGAAACGAUAGCUAAUACCGCAUAAGAGUAGAUGUUGCAUGACAUUUGCUUAAAAGGUGCAAUUGCAUCACUACCAGAUGGACCUGCGUUGUAUUAGCUAGUUGGUGGGGUAACGGCUCACCAAGGCGACGAUACAUAGCCGACCUGAGAGGGUGAUCGGCCACACUGGGACUGAGACACGGCCCAGACUCCUACGGGAGGCAGCAGUAGGGAAUCUUCGGCAAUGGACGGAAGUCUGACCGAGCAACGCCGCGUGAGUGAAGAAGGUUUUCGGAUCGUAAAGCUCUGUUGUAAGAGAAGAACGAGUGUGAGAGUGGAAAGUUCACACUGUGACGGUAUCUUACCAGAAAGGGACGGCUAACUACGUG
This 495-nucleotide ribosomal RNA is filed under the name uncultured bacterium. RNAcentral describes it as "partial 16S ribosomal RNA". It matches the Rfam family "Bacterial small subunit ribosomal RNA", at positions 28 to 507 of the family's 1533-position model. The record is from RNAcentral.